This 515-nucleotide small RNA is filed under the name Histoplasma capsulatum. Its description in RNAcentral is "hypothetical RNA". Lineage: Eukaryota; Fungi; Ascomycota; Eurotiomycetes; Onygenales; Ajellomycetaceae. The record is from RNAcentral. RNAcentral also lists the same sequence under 1 other name.
UUGUAAAACGCGAAAAGUUAUAUGAACUUUGCAGGGGUAUCCCCGAUACUAGAACGCAACGUUUUAGGCCACGGGUCACUGGUGGUAACAGAUGGACACUGGAACCAUGGGGCUGUGCAAUUGCAGGGUUGCAAUGGCUCAAAGGUUCGGAAGAUGAGUCACCCGUGGAAAGGUAAAAAGCUUACCUGAACUCAAUAUCUUGUAAGCAUAGCCAAAGGUUUUGGAAGAUGCUUGGAUAGAGAGAAUUGGUUGAAUGAUGAAAUGGAGAGAAUCGUUGCAAUAUAAGUAUGAAGUCACAACAAUCUAUGUUCCACGGGGAAGGAGGGUGAUCUUGCUUCAAAACUGCGGAAGAAAGACGUAAUCGAGGUGCCGUUCGCCACGGAACAAACGAGCGGUUAGAUGACGAAUCAAUAUCUUUUUAUAAAAAAAAUACAGCAUGCUUAUGGGAUCUGAGGAGAAAUGACUCCACAGCCAACAAAUCAAGGCUGAAACGAAGGCGACGAUUGAGGGGGGAG